This 513-nucleotide ribosomal RNA is filed under the name uncultured bacterium. RNAcentral's name for it is "bacterial SSU rRNA". It matches the Rfam family "Bacterial small subunit ribosomal RNA", at positions 8 to 518 of the family's 1533-position model. The record is from RNAcentral.
AGAGUUUGAUUAUGGCUCAGGAUGAACGCUAGCUACAGGCUUAACACAUGCAAGUCGAGGGGUAGCAGGGUAGCAAUACCGCUGACGACCGGCGCACGGGUGAGUAACACGUAUCCAACCUUCCCAUAACUCAGGGAUAGCCUUUCGAAAGAAAGAUUAAUACCUGAUAGUACUUUUUCAAGGCAUCUUGAAAAAGUUAAAGAUUUAUUGGUUAUGGAUGGGAUGCGUUCCAUUAGAUAGUUGGUGAGGUAACGGCUCACCAAGUCUUCGAUGGAUAGGGGUUCUGAGAGGAAGGUCCCCCACAUUGGUACUGAGACACGGACCAAACUCCUACGGGAGGCAGCAGUGAGGAAUAUUGGUCAAUGGGCGAGAGCCUGAACCAGCCAAGUAGCGUGAAGGAAUGAAGGUCCUAUGGAUUGUAAACUUCUUUUAUAGUAGAAUAAAGUGAUCCACGUGUGGAUUUUUGUAUGUAUACUAUGAAUAAGGAUCGGCUAACUCCGUGCCAGCCGCGGC